RNAcentral lists this long non-coding RNA (1707 nucleotides) under Homo sapiens (human). Its description in RNAcentral is "HSALNT0374880". The record is from RNAcentral. Lineage: Eukaryota; Metazoa; Chordata; Mammalia; Primates; Hominidae.
AUUUUCAACUCUUCGGCUCUAGACCACCAGCACUGAGGGUAAUGUAAAUGAUGAUAAAUGAGAGAUAGCUUAUACCCAGUGGCACAAAUAAAUUGCUCAUGAAGGAGAAGAAAAACUCAAGCAGAAUUAUACAAUUUGAAGACAACAAGGAGCACCAAGUAAUGAGUGGAAGGAGUGUGUGAUCAUUGGACGAUGAAAAUUUUUUGGAUAGCAUUGAAGAGUUCAAAAGGUCGUAUGAAGUGUUUUGCCUGAAGCUUCAGUGAAGUAAAAUUGGUUUCUUCUGAGAAUAAGGUUGUUUAGGCCACCAUCCCUGGAACAAAUAUUAUCCCUUCCUGCAAUUCCAUUGUCUGCCGGUGUUACCGGCAGAGCUACUUUGAGUGCUGGGCAGGAGCUGAAGCCACGAUGGGCAGGGGGUUCAUUCUGGGGAGUGGCUGGGAGGGGAGAUUCUUAGACCUCUGAGCCUGCAGCUCUGAGCUCUGAGUUGAAGCUCUGCUCUCCAAAGCAAGGGUGGCUCAGAAGCGCUUUGGGGUCAUCUGUCUUCGCCAGCCUCACCUCACUCUUAUUCUCUGAGGAUGUUUAGGAAGAAAUGAAAAUUAUGUGGCUUAGUCUCAGCAUAGCAAGAACUGUGGGGAAGAUCAUUAACUUUCUAACCUGAUUUCUUCUGUGACUUCAGAGGCUUCCUUAACCUCCAGUUAGAAAUUUUUAUCAGGCAUAUUUGAUUAUUAUGUAUCAAGUAUCUGCCUUGUGCCAUUCGCUGUUUGAGGCAGUUAGAAACAGUGAUGGGCAUGUCAGAUGAAACCCUGCUCUGACGGACCUAAAAUCCUAGUGAGUGAUAAUUAAUAUUUAUACUUUAUCUUUUCACUUAGUGAUUAAUGUUCAAAAGAAAAGCACUCAUAUCAGAAUGAGGUACUUAUUCUUCAAAAAUUAUGAUAGAUUCUCUUUGUAUUUUAAAAAUAUUUUGGUGGUAUAUAAUAGAGUCAGUUUCUUCAACAGAGCUACAAGCUUGAUCCCCUUGUUGGGAAAUAUAUGUUACAAGGGCAACAUUAGAAACCCCCAUGAUCCAGUCACCUCCCACCAGGUCCUUCCCCCAACGUUAGGGAUUACAACUCAACAUGAGAUUUGGGUGGGACACGGAGCCAAACCAUAUCAGUUGUUAACUCAGCUCUCGUGUGCUAUAUCCUUUCCUUCGUGGGAUCCCAUUAAAAACAUUAAAUGAAGAAACAUAACAGCCAAGGGAAAGAUGGAAGGACCCUUCCACGGAAAAAAAAAAUGGAACAAAUAGCUUGAAGGAAAAUGAGAAGGAAAACCUGUUGAAGGAUGACACCGAUCUGGAAGAGGAUGCCCAGAGUGUAAAGAAGGAGAUGGGGAUGGGCAACAGGGCUCCAGAGGGCUACCAGGCUGUGCGUUCACAGGUCGGAGGAGCAGAAAAUGCGUCCAUCGCAACAAGAAGGGGGACUACUGUGAGUGGAAAGCUUGCUCAUGGAGAGGGAGACAUUCACUCCUCUCACUGUCCCCUAUCCCUGCUGUCCCAAGGAGAGAGCACCCCAGUUAUGUGAUUGAGUGUAGUAUUUUUUAAAUGUCAGUACUGGUUUGAUUUUUAACUAAGUAAAAAUGGAAAAUUAAACAAAAAGUACAGGGUAUCUGUCAACUUCCCAGAACAUAUCUUUCGGGUCUUGUGUAAAGAAAUUGAUGUAAUCUGCUUUUCUG